UGCGUAGGCGGCGCCGUAAGUCGGAUGUGAAAUCUCGGGGCUCAACCCCGAAACUGCAUUCGAUACUGCGGUGCUAGAGGACUCUAGAGGAAACUGGAAUUCACGGUGUAGCAGUGAAAUGCGUAGAUAUCGUGAGGAAGACCAGUGGCGAAGGCGGGUUUCUGGAGAGUUCCUGACGCUGAGGCACGAAGGCCAGGGAGGCAAACG
RNAcentral lists this ribosomal RNA (207 nucleotides) under uncultured bacterium. Its description in RNAcentral is "partial 16S ribosomal RNA". It matches the Rfam family "Bacterial small subunit ribosomal RNA", at positions 568 to 774 of the family's 1533-position model. The record is from RNAcentral.